UACGGGGGGAGCAAGCGUUGUUCGGAAUUACUGGGCGUAAAGCGCACGUAGGCGGCUUUGCAAGUUAGAGGUGAAAGCCCGGGGCUCAACUCCGGAACUGCCUUUAAGACUGCAUCGCUUGAAUCCAGGAGAGGUGAGUGGAAUUCCGAGUGUAGAGAUGAAAUUCGUAGAUAUUCGGAAGAACACCAGUGGCGAAGGCGGCUCACUGGACUGGUAUUGACGCUGACGUGCGAAAGCGUGGGUAGCAAACGGG
RNAcentral lists this ribosomal RNA (253 nucleotides) under uncultured bacterium. Its description in RNAcentral is "partial 16S ribosomal RNA". It matches the Rfam family "Bacterial small subunit ribosomal RNA", at positions 524 to 776 of the family's 1533-position model. The record is from RNAcentral.